GCGAGAGUGGCGGAAUUGGCAGACGCGCUGGACUUAGGAUCCAGUGCCGCAAGGCGUAAGGGUUCAAGUCCCUUCUCUCGCA
Molecule: transfer RNA, 82 nt
Filed under: Planctomycetota bacterium
Lineage: Bacteria; Pseudomonadati; Planctomycetota
Also listed under: 2 other names
Description: Planctomycetes bacterium (activated sludge metagenome) tRNA-Leu
Rfam family: tRNA
About the family: Transfer RNA (tRNA) molecules are approximately 80 nucleotides in length. Their secondary structure includes four short double-helical elements and three loops (D, anti-codon, and T loops). Further hydrogen bonds mediate the characteristic L-shaped molecular structure. tRNAs have two regions of fundamental functional importance: the anti-codon, which is responsible for specific mRNA codon recognition, and the 3' end, to which the tRNAs corresponding amino acid is attached (by aminoacyl-tRNA synthetases). tRNAs cope with the degeneracy of the genetic code in two manners: having more than one tRNA (with a specific anti-codon) for a particular amino acid; and 'wobble' base-pairing, i.e. permitting non-standard base-pairing at the 3rd anti-codon position.
Source: RNAcentral